This 433-nucleotide ribosomal RNA is filed under the name uncultured bacterium. RNAcentral's name for it is "partial 16S ribosomal RNA". It matches the Rfam family "Bacterial small subunit ribosomal RNA", at positions 29 to 507 of the family's 1533-position model. The record is from RNAcentral.
AACGAACGCUGGCGGCAUGCCUAACACAUGCAAGUCGAACGAGACCUUCGGGUCUAGUGGCGCACGGGUGCGUAACGCGUGGGAACCUGCCCUUAGGUUCGGAAUAACUCCCCGAAAGGGGUGCUAAUACCGGAUAAUGUCUUCGGACCAAAGAUUUAUCGCCUUUGGAUGGGCCCGCGUUGGAUUAGCUAGUUGGUAGGGUAAAAGCCUACCAAGGCGACGAUCCAUAGCUGGUCUGAGAGGAUGAUCAGCCACACUGGGACUGAGACACGGCCCAGACUCCUACGGGAGGGGGCAGUGGGGAAUAUUGGACAAUGGGCGAAAGCAUGAUCCAGCAAUGCCGCGUGAGUGAUGAAGGACUUAGGGUUGUAAAGCUCUUUUACCCGGGAUGAUAAUGACAGUACCGGGAGAAUAAGCUCCGGCUAACUCCGUG